This 148-nucleotide signal recognition particle RNA is filed under the name Gorilla gorilla gorilla (western lowland gorilla). RNAcentral's name for it is "Metazoan signal recognition particle RNA". It matches the Rfam family "Metazoan signal recognition particle RNA". Rfam says of the family: The signal recognition particle (SRP) is a universally conserved ribonucleoprotein. The record is from Rfam by way of RNAcentral. Lineage: Eukaryota; Metazoa; Chordata; Mammalia; Primates; Hominidae.
GCCAGGCGUGGUGGUGUACACCUGUAGUCCCAGCUACUCAGGAGGCUGAGACAGGAAGAUUGCUUGAGCCCAGGAGGUCAAGGCUGCAGUGAGCCAUGAUCACACUACUGCACUCCUGCCUGGGCAACAGAGUGAGACCCUGUCUCAA